RNAcentral lists this ribosomal RNA (465 nucleotides) under uncultured bacterium. Its description in RNAcentral is "partial 16S ribosomal RNA". It matches the Rfam family "Bacterial small subunit ribosomal RNA", at positions 28 to 507 of the family's 1533-position model. The record is from RNAcentral.
GACGAACGCUGGCGACGUGCUCAACACAUGCAAGUCGAACGGAAAGGCCCUGCUUGCAGGGUACUCGAGUGGCGAACGGGUGAGUAACACGUGGGUGAUCUGCCCUGCACUUCGGGAUAAGCCUGGGAAACUGGGUCUAAUACCGGAUAGGAGCCAUUUUUAGUGUGAUGGUUGGAAAGUUUUUUCGGUGUAGGAUGAGCUCGCGGCCUAUCAGCUUGUUGGUGGGGUAAUGGCCUACCAAGGCGGCGACGGGUAGCCGGCCUGAGAGGGUGGACGGCCACAUUGGGACUGAGAUACGGCCCAGACUCCUACGGGAGGCAGCAGUGGGGAAUAUUGCACAAUGGGCGCAAGCCUGAUGCAGCGACGCCGCGUGGGGGAUGACGGCCUUCGGGUUGUAAACUCCUUUCGCUAGGGACGAAGCUUUUUGUGACGGUACCUAGAGAAGAAGCACCGGCUAACUACGUG